Ananas comosus (pineapple) is the source of this 2475-nucleotide RNA transcript. It is a transcript of the gene named BUD13 homolog, with no coding region annotated. The record is from RefSeq and is a predicted model, not a curated record. The transcript is spliced from 10 exons. NCBI's taxonomy places the organism in Eukaryota, Viridiplantae, Streptophyta, Magnoliopsida, Poales, Bromeliaceae.
CGCCUGCGCCCGCACCCCGCCCGCUCCCCGCGCCUGCGCCCGCGCCCGCGCGCGCCGCGCUGCCGCCUGCGCCCCGCUCGCACCCGGCCCGUCGGCUUAUUCCAGUGACAGGGGUGAAAGGCCGCCCUCGAAUCUUCUCCUUCCGUGAGCUCAGACACGCAGGAAACGCUGUUCGCCAUGGCGCCUGCCUCGACCUCCACCGCCGCCCUAUCCCUAAAAGAGUACCUCAAGAGGUACCAAUCCGACGCCGACGACCCCAACAAGGCGAAGGCGAAGGCGAAGAAGAAGAAGCGGAAGUCCAAGCCCCACUCGACGGGCGGCGUCCUCGUCGUCGACGAAGACCCCGUGUGGCAAAAGCCCGUUCGGAUCGAAGAGGACGAAGCCGACUCCCCCGGAGAAGAGCAACCUCAGAUCGACGAGGAUAUAGAGGUGAAGCGCAUGAAGCGCCUCGAGGCUAUCCGCGCACGGAAGCCCUACCACGCAAUUGCUGAGGACGGGAGCGGCUGGGUGUCGGUGUCGGAUCCCUCGAAGCUCUCUGAUGUCGCCAAAGGCGGCGGCGUUGGUGAUCUCUCCCCACCGCGGCAGCCCCGUGCGCGGUUUGACACCCCCUCUCCAGAGCGGAGUCCGGACCGGCCGGACCUAUCUCCUCUGCGGCGGCAGCAAAAGAGUGAUGAAAAUGUGGAGUAUACGCCACCGCCGACCAGGAAGUUAUCUGAGGAUUUAGCGCCUCCGAGAAAGGGUCGGGGCCGAAUUGAUUCUCCUCCCCGGCGGCAUGUGCGCCAUGACUCAAAGGAGCCUCCGGACAUUUCUCCUCCGAGGAGCCGCAGGGGUGAUGCGAAGGUGAAGGAUAUGUCACCGCCGAGGAGGAAGUUACCUGAGAAUUUAUCUCCUCCGAGAAAGGGUCGUAGGCAGGUUGCUGAUGGUGAGGAGCUCUCUCCUCCCCGUAGGCGUGUGCGCCAUGACUCUGAGGAGCUUCUGGACCGUUCUCUUUCGAGGAGAAGUCACAAGGGCGACGGCAAGGUGGAGGAUAUGUCACCCCCUAGGAGGAAGGUAUCUGAGGAUCUAUCUCCUCUGAGAAAAGCUUGGAGGACGGUAGCUACUGAUCGUUCCCCCGAACGGAAAGCUGGGGAGGGCCCGCCAGAGGACAUUUCUCCUCCUUGGCAGCGCGGCCCCCAUGACUCAGAGGAGCCUACGGACCUUUCUCCUCCAAGGCGAAGCCAAAAGGGACGGGCCGUCGACCAAUCUCCAUCCCGUAAAGCUCAUGGUUCUCCUGCUGCAGACCUUCUUGCUCUGCGAAGGAACCGGAAGGAUUCUUCACCAGAUCUUUCUCCACCUAGAAGACGGAAGGAGGUGGCUUUGGGAAAGGAGCCACCUAGAGCCGGGUUAUUUUCCAAGCAGGAGUUCAAAGAAGAGAUCGACAAGAAGAGGGAGGAACAGAAAUCUAGAUUUGCUUCCAUUGAUCCUUCGAAGAGUGGAAGAGGAGCAGAGCCAGUAUUUCGCGAUAAAUCAGGAAAAAUUAUAUCAAAGGAAGAACUGUUAAAAUCAAAGGAAGAUGACAAGCCAAAGGAAGUGAAAUUGGAAUGGGGUAAGGGCUUAGCUCAAAAGCGUGAAGCUGAGGCUAGAGCACUAGAGCUAGAGAUUGAGAAGGAUAAACCUUUUGCACGAUCAAGAGAUGAUCCAGAUCUCGAUAAAAUGUUGAAGGAGAGGAUCCGAUGGGGUGAUCCGAUGGCACAUCUAGUUAAGCGGAAGAACCCGGAGCCUAUUUUGGAAGAUUUAGGUGUUGAUGUGAAGAUGAAAGAGUCUGGCUUUAUAAUUCCUCAGACAAUUCCGAGUCACAGUUGGCUGAAACGUGGAAUAGAUUUCCCUCCUAAUCGCUAUGGUAUAAGGCCAGGCCGGCACUGGGAUGGAGUAGAUCGUAGCAAUGGAUUUGAGAAAGAAUUGUUUAAGAGACAGAACGAGAAGCAGGCAACCGAGCAAGAAGCUUUUUUAUGGUCCGUCUCUGAUAUGUGACACGCUCAGUAUGGUACCAUCCUGCUAGAUAAUUCCUUGUAUAUUUGCACUAUAAAGCUUCUGCUGCUAUACUGGAAUAUUGUUGUUUUGUGUAAGUUGGUAUCAUUCUUAAAAGUUUUGCUGUAACCUAGAUGAGCGAGAAAUGUUCUUCCUUUUUGAUAUUCACAGUCACCGAUCGUGUUUCUACACGACAGGAAUCUCCUGGUUUCUAGAGCGGAGAGCAUUGGACUGUCGUGCCUCUGUCAUUGUCGCAUAACAACAGUUGCAACUCCUGGGUCCAUUGGGCAGAUGUUUGACUAAGUUCUCAUUUUGAUUUUAAGCAGCGGAGCUCGAUGAUGUAUGGCCGAGGACGCCAAACGAGGUUUGUUUGUCAAUGGGAAAAUCUAAAACUCAGGCCUCGUUUUGUAUUAUUGUUCUUUCUUUAGCUUUUUAUAUUAGUGUAGGGUUUGCGCUUUGCUGCCUAUA